GGAAUACUAACAUUUCUUCAUUCAAGACAAAUGUAUUGCUGAAUGGUCAUAAUACUCACUUUGAGCCAUUCCCACAUCACUACUGGAUAAAGGAGAAGGUAACUAGCUGCAAGUUGCAACAUGGCAACACAAACCUUUCCCGCACAUAUGAUCACAGGUUUGGCUCUACAGUUUUCAAUGCAAGCAGUGAAGACAACAUGUUAGCUCCUUCAGUAGAAGACAAAGAAUUCCUUAAAGUAAUGGACAACGUGUUAUUUCAGGAAGAUUUCAAUAGUUGGGUAGCACCCCUACCCUUUCGCCUCCCGAGAGAGAAGCUACCGAACAAUCUACAUCAAGCCAUUAAAAGAUUCUCCUCCUUAAAGUGUACCUUAAGCAGGAAACCAGAGAUGGAAAGACAUUUUGUGGACUUUAUCCAGAUUGUCUUUGAUAGAGGUCAUGCACCUCCACUGAAAGAAGGAGAAGAAUGCUGGUACCUCCCUUCCUUCGGUGUGUAUCACCCACGAAAGCAAGACCAAAUCAGAGUUGUCUUUGACUCCAGCGCCCAAUAUGAAGGCAUCUCACUUAACAACAUGCUCCUCACAGGGCCCAACUUGAACAACAGCCUGAUUGGAGUCCUAAUUCGCUUUAGACAAGAACCUGUAGCAGUGAUGGCUGACAUUCAACAAAUGUUCCACUGCUUCAUCAUCAAGGAAGACAACAGGAACUACCUCAGGUUUCUAUGGCACAAAGACAACGACAUCAACAAAGAGGUAAUUGAUUACCGAAUGAGGGUGCAUGUCGUUGGGAACAGCCCUUCCCCAGCUAUAGCAAUCUAUGGACUAAGAAAGACAGCCCAGCUUGGAGAAGCUGAGUAUGGAUCCGACGCUCGUCAAUUCGUCGAAAGGAACUUUUACGUAGACGACGGGCUCAAAUCCUUUCCUACUGCUAAAGAAGAACAAAGGACAUGCUAUCCGUAGCAAACUUGAGACUUCACAAGAUUAUAUCUAAAAGCCAAGAGCUAAUGAAUGCAUUUUACUCUGAGGACUAUGCUGCCAGUGUGAAAGACCUUGACCUUGGGUCAGACACGCCUCCUAAGCAGAGAAGUCUAGGUCUUCUGUGGAACAUCAAAGAAGACACAUUCACCUUUCAAGUGUCAACCUGUAACAAACCUUUUAAAAAGAGAGGAGUCUUGUCCAUAGUGAAUAGCAUCUACGACCCACUGGGAUUUAUAGCCCCAGUCACCACCCAAGGUAAGAUGGUUUUGAGACAGCUUACUACUGAUGACAUAGAUUGGAACACUCCGUUACCUACUGAGAAACAACAAAGAUGGGAGAAAUGGAGAGGUUCUCUGAAGCCACUAGAACAACUCCAAAUUCCAUGUUGCUAUGCC
This is a non-coding RNA of Pelobates cultripes (western spadefoot toad), 1369 nucleotides long. NCBI's taxonomy places the organism in Eukaryota, Metazoa, Chordata, Amphibia, Anura, Pelobatidae. The record is from the annotation of a GenBank genome assembly.